GUUAAAAAGCUCGUAGUUGGAUUUCGGGAUGGGCCAGUCGGUCCGCCUAACGGUGUGUCUACUGGCUGGUCUGUUCUUCUUCGCAAAGACUGCGUGUGCACUUUACUGUGUGUGCGUAGGAUUUACGACGUUUACUUUGAAAAAAUUAGAGUGUUCAAAGCAGGCAUACCGCUUGAAUACAUGAGCAUGGAAUAAUGGAAUAGGACUUUGGUCUUAUUUUGUUGGUUUCUGAGACCGAAGUAAUGAUUAAGAGGGACAGUUGGGGGCAUUCGUAUUUCGUUGUCAGAGGUGAAAUUCUUGGAUUUACGAAAGACGAACAAUUGCGAAAGCAUUUGCCAAGAAUGUUUUCAUUAAUCAAGAACGAAAGUUAGAGGAUCGAAGACGAUCAGAUACCGUCCUAGUUCUAACCAUAAACGAUGUCGACUAGGGGAUCAGCGAACG
Molecule: ribosomal RNA, 441 nt
Filed under: uncultured eukaryote
Lineage: Eukaryota
Description: SSU rRNA
Rfam family: Eukaryotic small subunit ribosomal RNA
Source: RNAcentral